This is a long non-coding RNA of Piliocolobus tephrosceles (Ugandan red Colobus), 2849 nucleotides long. Lineage: Eukaryota; Metazoa; Chordata; Mammalia; Primates; Cercopithecidae. The record is from Ensembl.
CACAGAAAGGAAAGUAACACAAAAAAUAAAGACAAACGUGAAAAAGGAGAAAGUUGAAAAUAAUAACAGCAUGAUCAACAACAGCAGCAACAGUGGCAACAGUAUAAACAGCAGUAACAUCAGCAACAGUAACAGUAACAGCAGUAACAGCAUAGUAUUAGACGCAAAGGAAUUAAAAACAAAUUGUGUUAGAAUCGUAACUGAAUCGGACAUGCUUUUGUUAUAUAAAGAAUAUUUAAAUGGUAUUGCAAAUGAAAUAAAAAAUAAGAAGAAAAAGAACAAGAAGGAUGUGCAAUCUAAUAUAACGAAUGGCAUAAAUGGUGUAGUUAGUGAUGUAAUGACCGGUAAACUAACAAAGGGUAUAUGUAAAGCAAAUAGAACUCUAAACAAUAAUUUAAAAAAAACAGAAAAUGAUAAUUAUGGUUCUAAACUGGAUGCUAUAAUGGGAGAAGAUAUGGUAGAAAAAGAUGUGGUAGAAAAAGAUGUGGUAGAAGAAAAUGUUGUAGAAGAAAAUGUUGUAGAAGAAAAUGAGGUUGCACAAGUUGAAGAACAAGAUAAACGGUCUUUUUCUGUAAAUAAUUACAGUCAUGAUUAUACAAUUAAAACAAACUUCGAAUUGUUUCAUAGGAAAGUGGAAUGGUUUUAUCACUGGUUUAUUGAAAGUGCGUCAAACAUUGAGUAUGACCAUCGAUGGAGUAUAAUAUUACCUUAUAUUGUUUUGAAAUAUGAUGAAAAUAAUAUAAUUAAUCAUAAUAACUUCAUGAAAAAAUUAAAUAAAGAGUAUGUAAAAAAUGAAGCGAAUUCGAAAACCGCUUCAGUGAUAACAUCAAAAAAAAUGGAAACUGAUGAAGAGAAUGUAAAAAAAGAAAAGGAACAUAAAAAUGAACAAGCGGAAACGCAAGGACAAAAAAAACAAGAGAAAAAAAAUGAUGAACAAAAAAAUAAUAAAGAAGGAGGUAUUAUAUGUGAGAAGUCAAAUGGUGGUAUAAACAAUACGCAUGAUGAUUGUCAGAGUAAUAAAAAACGAAAAGUCAUUGUAGAAAUGAAUGGUUUACACAAAUCUAGCAAACCAUCUAAUGGUUUGAUCAAUGAAGGGGUAGAAGAAGAAAAAGAAGAAGAAGAAGAAGAAACAGGAGAAGAAGAAACAGGAAAAGAAGAAACAGGAGAAGAAAAAAAAAAUGACCUUGUGAUUAAUUAUAUGCAAAAAGGUAUUGAAAAGAAAGAUAAUAAUAUUAACAAUAAAGAUGAGACAAUUAAAAAGUUGUCAAGUCUAAAUGAGUAUGUACUUACUAAAGAAGUGGUGGCACAGGCUAUUGAAAACACAUUGAACUUGAAAGAAAAUAAGAGAGAAGAAGAAUAUUAUGCGUUUCAUAAAAAAUAUGAUGUUGUUUACUUGUGUUCGAGUGUGUUGGACUUGGAUGGAAAAGAAACAUGUGGAAACAAAAGCGACAGUGGAAGUGGCAAUGGAAGUGACAAUGGAAGUGGAAGUGGAAGUGGCAAUGGAAGUGGAAGUGGCAAUGGAAGUGGCAAUGGAAGUGGCAAUGGAAGUGGAAAUGAAAAUAAAAACGGAAAUGGCAACAAAGGACAUAAAGCAAAAGAUAUGAAAACGGAGGUAGAAAAUAUGGGAAAGAAAAAAAGUAAAAAAGUUCAAGCGUUAAAAAAUAAUAAAUUUAAUGACAUACAUGAAGAAACAAGUAAUACCAAAAUAUAUACACGCUCUCGUACUGCCAGUACUAGUACCAUUAUGAGUAACAGUAGUAAUAGUAAGAUAGGUGUUCAUACACGCAGUGGUAGUGUUAGUGGUAGUGUUAGUGGCAGUGUUAGUGGUAGUAGGAAGUCGUAUACUCAUAGUAAUAAUGUUAAACUAGGUAAACGUGUAGGUAUGUGUAAUGAUAUUGUUCAUAGUAAGUCAUACACACAUAAUGUCAAGUUAUCUACUCGCACACGUAGUGGCAUUAAUAAGCUAUGUACGAGUCCAGAUUCAGGUUCAGUUAGUGAAAGUGACAGUAGCAAUAAAAAACAAGAAGAGUACUACUAUUUUUAUUUAUUCGGUUUAGCUACAAUAUACACUUUUUUCACAUUUUAUUUCGAUCGUAAUCGGAUUUCGCAGUUUCUAAUAUUCCCACCAGUACAAGGAAAAGGAUUAGGUAUGACUGUUUUAGAAAAAAUAUAUCACUUAUCUAUUAUUAACAGUCAUAUAAAAGAAGUAACUGUCGAAGAUCCUGCAGCUUCAUUUGUACAAUUGCGAGACAUCAUUGCAAUAAAAAUAUGUAUCGAUUUGAAUAUAUUCAACAGAUGUAUUUUAUACCCAAAUGACUAUUUAAAAAAAAAAAAAAUAAUAAAAGAAAACUAUGUAUUUGAUAAGAAUAAGCUUAUGCAAAUUUGUAAGGAAACGCAUAAACAGAUAACUAGAAUGACAGAAAUUUUAUUAUUAGCUAGUGUGUUACCACAUCCAUUACCUGUAUAUAUAGAAACUGAAGAUAAGCCCUCUAACACUUUAAAAAAAAGAGAAAGAAGAAGUGAAAGUAACACUAGUGCUACUGUUUCUGCUGCUACUUCUACAAAUACUAAUAAUACAUACAUUGAAAACUCCAUGGAAAAAUUCGAAACUUCAGAUGCUUGUAAAGAAGUUCGAAUAAGAGUUAAAAAAAGAAUGAAACAAUUCUAUAUUAGUGAUAUGAUUAACAAAAAUAUGAGUUGCACAACUUCGGACAUAUUCCGCGAUUAUGUAAGUGAAAUGGGGGCAUAAGUGCUUUUAUAUGAUAUAUCACGUGUAUAUAUAUAUAUAUAUAUAUAUAUAUAUAUAUACGUUUGAGUUUAUGCGGGCCAGUUUUGUUAGCUUGCUUUUA